Lineus longissimus is the source of this 296-nucleotide long non-coding RNA. RefSeq lists it as uncharacterized. The transcript is spliced from 4 exons. NCBI's taxonomy places the organism in Eukaryota, Metazoa, Nemertea, Pilidiophora, Heteronemertea, Lineidae. The record is from RefSeq and is a predicted model, not a curated record.
AUGUCACAAGGACGGUUGGCCCCGAUGCGGGGGCACACGUUAAUGCCUAUCUGGAAUACAGAAGAAUUGUUGGCGAUGAUGAUGGGGGUGUCAUGAUGUCACCUGAGGACUUUGAAGACUACCAGAGAAGAGUUCUGCCAAUGCGUCAAAAGAACCGCCUGUAUGUCAGCUGGUAUUCUCCACCGACUGGUAUCGACUGCAAGCUGGUUGGCCCAGAGAUGCCAUGCUUCUGUACUCACAGAUAUAAGCAACACAAAACAUACUUUGAAACAAUCCCGGAGGCCCGCCCCAUCCUU